AGGGAAUCUUCCGCAAUGGACGCAAGUCUGACGGAGCAACGCCGCGUGAACGAUGAAGGCCUUCGGGUCGUAAAGUUCUGUUGUUAGGGAAGAACAAGUAUUGUUCGAAUAGGGCAGUACCUUGACGGUACCUAACCAGAAAGCCACGGCUAACUACGUGCCAGCAGCCGCGGUAAUACGUAGGUGGCAAGCGUUGUCCGGAAUUAUUGGGCGUAAAGCGCGCGCAGGCGGUCUUUUAAGUCUGAUGUGAAAGCCCCCGGCUCAACCGGGGAGGGUCAUUGGAAACUGGGAGACUUGAGUGCAGAAGAGGAGAGUGGAAUUCCAUGUGUAGCGGUGAAAUGCGUAGAGAUAUGGAGGAACACCAGUGGCGAAGGCGACUCUCUGGUCUGCAACUGACGCUGAGGCGCGAAAGCGUGGGGAGCAAAC
RNAcentral lists this ribosomal RNA (426 nucleotides) under uncultured bacterium. Its description in RNAcentral is "bacterial SSU rRNA". It matches the Rfam family "Bacterial small subunit ribosomal RNA", at positions 356 to 773 of the family's 1533-position model. The record is from RNAcentral.